UUUCCGUAGGCGAACCUGCGGAAGGAUCAUUAAAGAGUAAGGGUCUUCGGGCCCGAUCUCCAACCCUUUGUUUAACUACCAUGUUGCUUUGGCGGGCCCGUCUCACGACCGCCGGAAGUUUGGCUUCGACCAAACUUCUGGCCCGUGCCCGUCAGUGGCCCCUUCAAAUUCUUGAUCAAGUAUGAUGUCUUAGUUAAAAACUUAAUAGUUAAAACUUUCAACAACGGAUCUCUUGGUUCUG
Molecule: unclassified non-coding RNA, 241 nt
Filed under: plant metagenome
Description: partial contains small subunit ribosomal RNA, internal transcribed spacer 1, and 5.8S ribosomal RNA
Source: RNAcentral